ACGUACGCUGGCGGCACGCCUAACACAUGCAAGUCGAACGAAGUAGCAAUACUUAGUGGCAGACGGGUGAGUAACAUGUAGGUAUCUGCCCUUUGGCCUGGAAUAACACGAGGAAACUUGUGCUAAUACCGGAUAAGUCUUUACGGAGAAAGCUUUAUGCACCAUUGGAUGAGCCUGCACUUGAUUAGUUUGUUGGUGGGGUAAUGGCCUACCAAGACUGUGAUCAAUAGCUGAUUUGAGAGGAUGAUCAGCCACAUUGGGACUGAGACACGGCCCAAACUCCUACGGGAGGCAGCAGUGGGGAAUCUUGCACAAUGGAGGAAACUCUGAUGCAGCGAUGCCGCGUGAGUGAAGAAGGCCUUUGGGUUGUAAAGCUCUUUCGUCGGGGAAGAAAAUGACUGUACCCGAAUAAGAAGGUCCGGCUAACUUCGUGCCAGCAGCCGCGGUAAUACGAAGGGACCUAGCGUAGUUCGGAAUUACUGGGCUUAAAGAGUUCGUAGGUGGUUGAAAAAGUUAGUGGUGAAAUCCCAGAGCUUAACUCUGGAACUGCCAUUAAAACUUUUCAGCUAGAGUAUGAUAGAGGAAAGCAGAAUUUCUAGUGUAGAGGUGAAAUUCGUAGAUAUUAGAAAGAAUACCAAAUGCGAAGGCAGCUUUCUGGAUCAUUACUGACACUGAGGAACGAAAGCAUGGGUAGCGAAGAGGAUUAGAUACCCUCGUAGUCCAUGCCGUAAACGAUGUGUGUUAGACGUUGGAAAUUUAUUUUCAGUGUCGCAGGGAAACCGAUAAACACACCGCCUGGGGAGUACGACCGCAAGGUUAAAACUCAAAUGAAUUGACGGGGACCCGCACAAGUAGUGGAGCAUGUGGUUUAAUUCGAAGAUACGCGCAGAACCUUACCAACACUUGACAUGUUCGUCGCGACUCUAAGAGAUUAGAGUUUUCGGUUCGGCCGGACGAAACACAGGUGCUGCAUGGCUGUCGUCAGCUCGUGUCGUGAGAUGUUGGGUUAAGUCCCGCAACGAGCGCAACCCUCACUUUUAGUUGCCAUCAUUAAGUUGGGCACUCUGAAAGAACUGCCAGUGAUAAGCUGGAGGAAGGUGGGGAUGACGUCAAGUCCUCAUGGCCCUUACGUGUUGGGCUACACACGUGCUACAAUGGUAUCUACAACAGGAAGCAAAACUGCGAAGUUAAGCAAAUCCCUAAAAGAUACCUCAGUUCGGAUUGCACUCUGCAACUCGAGUGCAUGAAGCUGGAAUUACUAGUAAUCGUGGAUCAGCGUGCCACGGUGAAUGCGUUCCCGGGUCUUGUACUCACCGC
Molecule: ribosomal RNA, 1317 nt
Filed under: uncultured Alphaproteobacteria bacterium
Lineage: Bacteria; Pseudomonadati; Pseudomonadota; Alphaproteobacteria
Description: bacterial SSU rRNA
Rfam family: Bacterial small subunit ribosomal RNA
Source: RNAcentral